This 70-nucleotide transfer RNA is filed under the name uncultured Luminiphilus sp. It matches the Rfam family "tRNA". From Rfam's summary of the family: Transfer RNA (tRNA) molecules are approximately 80 nucleotides in length. Lineage: Bacteria; Pseudomonadati; Pseudomonadota; Gammaproteobacteria; Cellvibrionales; Halieaceae. The record is from RNAcentral. RNAcentral also lists the same sequence under 1 other name.
CGGUGUAGCUCAGUUGGUAGAGCAGCGCAUUCGUAAUGCGAAGGUCGUAGGUUCGAAUCCUAUCUCCGGC